Molecule: small RNA, 157 nt
Filed under: Arabidopsis thaliana (thale cress)
Lineage: Eukaryota; Viridiplantae; Streptophyta; Magnoliopsida; Brassicales; Brassicaceae
Description: ATSL163070
Source: RNAcentral
UCUCAAGCAUAGCUAGACACUGACCUAAUUCCCAUUAGCGAUCUCUAACUAAGCAGGCAAUAAGAACCGACUGUUAAAGCCAAUAACCGCUCUAAACGGCCAAUCCCUUGGGAUAGAGACGAUUAUCACUGGAAUUAGUAGAUGCAACGUUCUAUAA